RNAcentral lists this ribosomal RNA (279 nucleotides) under uncultured bacterium. Its description in RNAcentral is "partial 16S ribosomal RNA". It matches the Rfam family "Bacterial small subunit ribosomal RNA", at positions 506 to 784 of the family's 1533-position model. The record is from RNAcentral.
UGCCAGCAGCCGCGGUAAUACGUAGGGUGCGAGCGUUAAUCGGAAUUACUGGGCGUAAAGCGUGCGCAGGCGGUUUUAUAAGUCAGAUGUGAAAUCCCCGAGCUCAACUUGGGAACUGCGUUUGAAACUGUAAGACUAGAGUGUGUCAGAGGGGGGUAGAAUUCCAUGUGUAGCAGUGAAAUGCGUAGAUAUAUGGAGGAAUACCAGUGGCGAAGGCGGCCCCCUGGACAAAGACUGACGCUCAUGCACGAAAGCGUGGGUAGCAAACAGGAUUAGAUA